This 930-nucleotide long non-coding RNA is filed under the name Homo sapiens (human). RNAcentral describes it as "HSALNT0384470". Lineage: Eukaryota; Metazoa; Chordata; Mammalia; Primates; Hominidae. The record is from RNAcentral.
UGGCUCAAUUUGGAGAGGUCGUUCUCCAGUGGGGAAGAAGGAAUAACAAAAGGAGCAUUUUUGGAGCAUUUAUUAACAGUAUAGGCUAGGCUUUUUUUCUAUGUAUUUUAUAUGUGUCUAUUCAUUUAAUGCCCUUGAUAAUCCACUGAAAGAGGUGUCAUUAUUAUCAUCCCAUUUUACAGAAGAAGAAACUGAAACAAGAAGAUGAGCAUCUCAGCAUCUCAGAGGUGAAGAAACUGGCCUAGCCACCACGUGGUGGCACUUGCAGCCUGAGUCAGCAGAUCCCCAGGCAAAUGAAGACUCUGAGAUGAAGACAGCUGAGCGCAUGAUGGGGUAGGUCAGCCUCCCUCAUGGAAAUUCUGUGUGCCUGAGGCCCACCCUUCCAGUGCAGAUGGAGGGAUGGGAUGGAAAUGAAUCUAGGGGAACGCAUCCCAGCUGUGAUCCAGCCACCUCUGCGUUUGAAGGCUGGGGGUUAUUCCCUCCUCAUGGUUGCCACGCAUUCUUAUGUUUGCAUGUCAUGCUUGGAACUGCCGCAGCCACUUUGUGACAGCCUGAGAAUGAAUCCAGCGCUAAAAUCAGUCUAGCAAAAGGAGGAGAAACACCUGGGUCUCCAUGAUGUCACUGAGCAAGUGAAUUGACCAGCUGUGAGGUACUUCUGUGAUUCCUCCAUCUCACAGGACUGGUGUCCUUAUAAUGAAAGGAAGAGACACUGAGUUCUGUCUCCCAGCCUUGUGAGGACACGUUGAGAUGACUGCAAGCUGGGAAGAGAGCCUUCACCAGGAGCUGAAUUUGCUGGUAGUUUGAUCUUGAACCACAUUGAGAUGACUGCAAGCUGGGAAGAGAGCCUUCACCAGGAGCUGAAUUUGCUGGUACUUUGAUCUUGAACCUCCAGCCUCCAGAAUUGUGACAAAAUAAAUUUCUGUUGUUGAA